This 253-nucleotide ribosomal RNA is filed under the name uncultured bacterium. RNAcentral's name for it is "partial 16S ribosomal RNA". It matches the Rfam family "Bacterial small subunit ribosomal RNA", at positions 524 to 776 of the family's 1533-position model. The record is from RNAcentral.
UACGUAGGGUGCGAGCGUUAAUCGGAAUUACUGGGCGUAAAGCGUGCGCAGGCGGUUUUGUAAGCCAGAUGUGAAAUCCCCGGGCUUAACCUGGGAAUGGCAUUUGUGACUGCAUGGCUAGAGUGCGGCAGAGGGGGAUGGAAUUCCGCGUGUAGCAGUGAAAUGCGUAGAUAUGCGGAGGAACACCGAUGGCGAAGGCAAUCCCCUGGGCCUGCACUGACGCUCAUGCACGAAAGCGUGGGGAGCAAACAGG